Molecule: long non-coding RNA, 363 nt
Organism: Ruditapes philippinarum (Manila clam)
Lineage: Eukaryota; Metazoa; Mollusca; Bivalvia; Venerida; Veneridae
Exons: 3
Source: RefSeq, a predicted model, not a curated record
AAUUGAACCUAAAGAUCAAUGACCUGGGACAGGAAGAUAAACAAAAGAAACAUGAUAGUAAAAAGGUUCAGAGUCAGCUUGUAAGCAAGUUUGCAAGACUGUUCCAAACUACAAGAAGAUGGCAAUCCAGCUUUGCUGUGUUUUAUCAUAGUAUAUCAUUGGCAUCCAGGCAUCGAUUAAGGAAGCCAACUGUAGACCAGGAAAGGCUUCAAGGAAUAUACUACAGAAUUGUAUCCUGGAGCAUUUUCCACAUGUGACCCCUGUGAUGGUGAGGGAAAAACUAAGGGACAUUUAAAAAUCAUGAAGAGUGAACAGGAAUUCAAAAGAUAGAUAUUUGAAUACAUUAAAAUUUAACCGGAUACC